AGCUGGAACGUUGUGCGAGAGAAAUUCUUGGUUGGCUAGAUUAGAAACGAGUGUUAGAAAUAACACUGCAUCUGACUACCUGAACGUAGUUAUCGGUUGAUUAGAAUCUACACAAGGGCUAGAAGAACACUAAACGAAAUAAAAAUCUACACCCAGAACAACCUGGUGUUUAUUCGUGUUUCGGAAAACGCACCCUAGCCGUCAACUCAAUUCAACA
Molecule: long non-coding RNA, 217 nt
Organism: Culex quinquefasciatus (southern house mosquito)
Lineage: Eukaryota; Metazoa; Arthropoda; Insecta; Diptera; Culicidae
Exons: 3
Source: RefSeq, a predicted model, not a curated record